CUUCAGUGACGAUAAGAUGACGAGUCAGAAAGGAUGUCCUUGCAUGAGCGUAGCCUGAUCGGUGCCAUGUUCUGUGGUACGGUGCUACGGCUGCCUUGGGCAGGAUGUCCUACUCAUUGGAUGAUUUAGAGGCAUUUGUCUGAGAAGG
This is a small nucleolar RNA of Struthio camelus australis, 148 nucleotides long. Lineage: Eukaryota; Metazoa; Chordata; Aves; Struthioniformes; Struthionidae. The record is from Ensembl.